GUGUUUUUAUUUUGUCAUGGUUAUUCAGCAGCGAGGUAUAGAGUUCCUACGUUGAUUUCAAAUAGUAGGAACUUCUUACCGUGCUCUUGGACUUGCCUAAAUAUCAUCAUUCCCCGUAACAAAUGGAUGAUCUUCAAGAUGGAGACAAUCUGGGUGACAAUGGAAGAGCUACGACUACGGCUAAUCCUAAUUGUGGUUCCACUAAUAAAUUCCAUAAAUAUCUGGGACACAAUUCUAGAGAGGUGUCAUUCAUCCACUUGGAUGAAAAUCACCGAGGGAAGCUGACAGCAGAUCAUCGCCAAGGGUCGAUAGGACCAGUUCAACAUGCGAGUGACCGCUACAGGGAGAGAAAAAUUGCUUAAAAAUUACAGUUACGAGCUUUUUCAAUUAACUUUCAGGAAAAAAUUACGGAACAGCCCAAUUGUGAUCGUCUCCGUGAUAUUGGAGAAUUGAUAAAUCAAUAAAUAUUUACCGGGGCCGAACAAAUUCUCGAUCAUUAUCAUAAUUUUUGUAAGCUGUCACUAUUUUUGGAUUCAAUGUCAACCAACGAAGGUGUUAGCAAUUGUGUGGACAUUUGUAAUAUAUUUACAUACUUUAGUAGAUAUAAUAGAUUUUAUUCUAGUUCCCCGGUACAGGUUACGCCUGUAAAUAUAACAGCUAAAUUUCCUGGUGUUGCAAGUAACACGACUUUACGUUCGCAAACUUUCCCCAUAAAAUAUCAAUAAAAUUCGCAAUCAAUUGAAGUCCUACAUAUUUUCAAUCUAUUUGAUUAAUUAUUUGCAAUAAAAUAAGUUGUCUGACGAAAUAUGAAUGAAUAGCAGUAGUUGUGUUGAUAUAUCUUCUUCAUCGGAGCAACUACAAGACUUUGGAGUAGAACACUCAACAAUAAUUCAUGGACUGCAAAAUACGAAAAUGUUUCCUUCCUCCUCUCAGGACAUCAGCGGAGUGUCUCAUACUUUCCCUUUGCUUGAUCAUCCUUGAUGCAAGGUUCAAAUAAUUCCAUCUGUCACCCGA
Molecule: long non-coding RNA, 1014 nt
Organism: Diachasmimorpha longicaudata
Lineage: Eukaryota; Metazoa; Arthropoda; Insecta; Hymenoptera; Braconidae
Exons: 3
Source: RefSeq, a predicted model, not a curated record